Molecule: ribosomal RNA, 253 nt
Filed under: uncultured bacterium
Lineage: Bacteria
Description: partial 16S ribosomal RNA
Rfam family: Bacterial small subunit ribosomal RNA
Source: RNAcentral
UACGAAGGGGGCUAGCGUUGUUCGGAAUCACUGGGCGUAAAGGGCGCGUAGGCGGCGCGACAAGUCAGGCGUGAAAGCCCCGGGCUCAACCCGGGAAUUGCGCUUGAUACUGUCGUGCUUGAGGCCGGGAGAGGAUGGCGGAAUUCCCAGUGUAGAGGUGAAAUUCGUAGAUAUUGGGAAGAACACCGGUGGCGAAGGCGGCUCUCUGGACCGAGACUGACGCUGAGGCGCGAAAGCGUGGGGAGCAAACAGG